RNAcentral lists this ribosomal RNA (432 nucleotides) under uncultured eukaryote. RNAcentral describes it as "partial 18S ribosomal RNA". It matches the Rfam family "Eukaryotic small subunit ribosomal RNA", at positions 592 to 976 of the family's 1831-position model. The record is from RNAcentral.
UAAUAGCGUAUUUUAAAGUUGUUGCAGUUAAAACGCUCGUAGUUGGACUUGAGAGUUUCGUUGUGUGGUUGGUCCGCGUUAAGUGAGUACUGCCACGCCGGCUCUUCCUUAUGAGAUACUCCCUGUCUCACUUCGUUGGGGGGCAGGAGCAGGCGCGGGGCUGUGCCGGCAACGGUGUGGCGUCGUGUUGGGUUCUCAUUCGUUUACUUUGAAUAAAUUAGAGUGUUCAAAGCAGGCUAUUUUCAAUUGCCUUGAAUAAUCUAGCAUGGGAUAAUGGAAUAGGCUGUCGGCUUAUUUCGUUGGUUUCUAAGCCAGACAGAAUGAUUAAGAGGGACAGUUGGGGGUUUUCGUAUUCAAUUGUCAGAGGUGAAAUUCUUGGAUUUGUUGAAGACGAACUACUGCGAAAGCAUCAACCAAGGAUGUUUUCAUUAA